This 460-nucleotide ribosomal RNA is filed under the name uncultured bacterium. RNAcentral's name for it is "partial 16S ribosomal RNA". It matches the Rfam family "Bacterial small subunit ribosomal RNA", at positions 338 to 795 of the family's 1533-position model. The record is from RNAcentral.
CCUACGGGAGGCUGCAGUGAGGAAUAUUGGUCAAUGGGCGCUAGCCUGAACCAGCCAAGUAGCGUGAAGGAUGACUGCCCUAUGGGUUGUAAACUUCUUUUAUAUGGGAAUAAAGUGCAGUAUGUAUACUGCUUUGCAUGUACCUUCUGAAUAAGGAUCGGCUAACUCCGUGCCAGCAGCCGCGGUAAUACGGAGGAUCCGAGCGUUAUCCGGAUUUAUUGGGUUUAAAGGGAGCGUAGGCGGGUUGUUAAGUCAGUUGUGAAAGUUUGCGGCUAAACCGUAAAAUUGCAGUUGAUACUGGCAGCCUGGAGUACAGUAGAGGUAGGCGGAAUUCGUGGUGUAGCGGUGAAAUGCUUAGAUAUCACGAAGAACUCCGAUUGCGAAGGCAGCCUACUGGACUGUAACUGACGCUGAUGCUCGAAAGUGUGGGUAUCAAACAGGAUUAGAUACCCGUGUAGUC